AGACUCCGCUUCUGAUGGGAGACAAGAUGAUUGCUGCUAUUAAGCCUUAAUGCAACAUCACUGUCUGAGGUGAAAGUUCCAUUAAAACGAGGUUGGAGCUGGGGUUGAGCACCCAUGUCAUCCAAGUUUAGGUUCAGGGCCUGCACUACUCUUGCUGGUAGCAGAACUGUAGAACAAGCUGACUUCUUGCGAGUUUCAGCAGUGGUACUAGCUCGGCGAGGUAAGAACACCCCAGUGCCAGCACAUUCCCUUUUGCCCCCAGGAUUGCCGAGGAACACAGCCCGCAUGCCAGACCCGCCUUGGUGGUGUUGCAGAGGAGGCCAAGCAGACGGAGGCAAACCCAAAGGUCUACCAGGAUUUCUGGCUCCGUUGUGGACCACUGACUGGGUUUGUUGCUUUUGGAAAAAUCCAGCACCCUUAGGCUGCCCUCCCCAAAGCCCAGAGCUCUGUUGUUUCAUCAGUUGCUGCUGUCUCAGCUGCUGAAAUUGAGCUGCUUGCAAUUUCUGGUAAGUAAGAGACGGCAUCGGGUAGAGACCCGCAUCAGGUUUUGAGUUUUUCACGGGUACAGAGACAGGAGAGGGUUUUCGUGGUGGACCCAAGAUUCCACUGUUGUGGCCGUUAAGGCCGUACCCUUCUUGAUUAAUUCUCAUCCUCGCUACUUCGCCAGCAGCCGCAUACAGCAGAUCCCAUGUGGCCGGCGUUGAGGAGCCCCUGGAGAAAUCAUUUGGACGGCCACGGCAUGACGCUUGCCUACACCCACAACCACUUCCAAGCCCACAUAGCGUUGAUUGUGGUGAACCUGAUACCACCCAGGCCUUGGUUUUUUCAUUCCCAAAAGUCACAUCGUUUCCCCUAAAAUCGUCUUCAAGCGUGGAGCGAGCCAUUUGGCAAGUUAAGCCAGCGAUGUAGUCUUCCUCGUCACUCUCUUCGGUAGAACCGACCACCGACUCAACCGGAGAACUGAGAUCCGAAGACACCCCGAAGGACCCAACCCCAUAAGGAAAAUCAAGUGGGAAGAAAGGCUUGGAAUAGUCAGUUUCAGAGGAAAACACAUCUUUAGCGUUCUUGAGGCUACAUUUGUUGGUGGUAGUAAUCUUCUUAUCCAUGAAAAUAUCGUCGUCAGUGAGGAACUGAGGAGGCAACCAGAACUCGCCGUCGUCUAAACUAUCUGCCAUAUUUAAACUCUAGCAAUGACAGAGAGAGGGCAACAAAAGGAUAGACGAGGGAGAGGAUGGAGUAAAUGAGAGUUUGCUGCUCGGCUAAGAUAUAAUGAUAGCAACCCCAGUUGGAUUUUUGCUGGAUUUGCAGCUUUAGGGUCCCAGAGAACGCUAUGAAAGAAAAAAGAGAGAGAUAUUUAUAAAGAGAAAGCAGUGCUUAUUAACCAGAAAAGCCUCAAGCCUCAGGGGCCCUUCCCUUUCUAUAGAGAGCAAAAGCACGGAAUUAAGCGAAAGAAGGGAGAAGAGAGUGCGAUUAGAGCCUGCGCCAUGUAUACUUGUAGUAGCCUAGUAGGGC
Molecule: unclassified non-coding RNA, 1512 nt
Filed under: Hevea brasiliensis (rubber tree)
Lineage: Eukaryota; Viridiplantae; Streptophyta; Magnoliopsida; Malpighiales; Euphorbiaceae
Source: RNAcentral